This is a non-coding RNA of Paramormyrops kingsleyae, 1254 nucleotides long. NCBI's taxonomy places the organism in Eukaryota, Metazoa, Chordata, Actinopteri, Osteoglossiformes, Mormyridae. The record is from RefSeq and is a predicted model, not a curated record.
ACCAAGCAGGCUGGGUUAGCCAGGCCCAGCAAAACCACUGUGCGGGAAGUCAAAGGAGUCGCAGGAGUUUCCAAUGGAGAGUUAUGGGGAAAGUCGACUUUAAGCUCCCAGGCGUGCAGCUAAGCACAAUGGAGUCAUUCAGAAUGCUCCCCGCCAGUCCGCGGUGCUUCGGAGGAUCACACCCGUCCUCAGAGGUGCAGGGGGUGUCGCUACCCAAAAUGUUACCCCCAAACAACAGCAUGCUUGUCGUCAAAAAAAAAUAAUCAUGCGACAGUUUCAAAAAGGCCUUGGUCAUACUACAGACUGCUGUGACCAAUUAUAUUUGGAAGGAAGCCGUCUUCGAGCUCUGUAAGGAGAUCUCCAUGAUCAGCAUGUACUCUCUUUACUGACCACGUGUAACGUUUGAUCUUUAGACAGUUUGGCCGAAGCACAUCUGAUCAGACAAAGCCAACCCAAAAGUCCUCAUUCGGCUCAGCAGGAAAUCGUGAAAAGCGCAAGCCGAUAACCUGUCCCUUCGCCGAUCCAAACCGGCCGAUAACCUGCCCCUUCGCCGAUCCAAACCGGCCGAUAACCUGCCCCUUCGCCGAUCCAAACCGGCCGAUAACCUGCCCCUUCGCCGAUCCAAACCGGCCGAUAACCUGCUCCUUCACCGAUCCAAACUGCCGACAGCAGCGAAGCAAAGGGAGGAGGGGGAACUCACUCACCACAGAUGCAGUCACAGGGCAGGAGCAAAGGAAGGGGGUAGGAAGUGGGUGCCUUAUAGGUUAACAUAUGGCCAAGUUUAGAAAAUAAGCAACAAGUGCGACAAAACGAAAACACCAGUGAUUAGCGACAGCCAUGACACACGCUGUCCCAGAGCCAGGGUCACCCUCCAGGUCUGUGGCGGGUUCACACUCUGUCCCAGACCCAGGGUCACCCUCCAGGUCUGUGGCGGGUUCACACUGUCCCAGACCCAAGCUUACCCAUGUGAAAAAGUUGUGCCAAUAUCUUUGGUCGUGGCCCCAAAACGGUGGUCUUACACCUCACUGUGAGAGGUUCAGAGGUGAAUGUUGUCGUGGUCUUGCAACCAAAAACAGGCUUGGACAGAUUUGUGACAAUGUUAUCAAUUCGGUAUUAGUAAGAGCUAUGUCUACUAACCAACUAACGCUGAUGGUAUAUUAUUCUUGUAUAUUGAUUUCAAAUUCAGUGAUAAGCAUUUCACUGCAGGUUGUACUAUGUAUGAUAAUGCAUGUGACAGAUUAAAUAUUGAUUUGC